Molecule: ribosomal RNA, 450 nt
Filed under: uncultured bacterium
Lineage: Bacteria
Description: bacterial SSU rRNA
Rfam family: Bacterial small subunit ribosomal RNA
Source: RNAcentral
AACGAACGUUAGCGGCGCGCUUAACACAUGCAAGUCGCACGAGAAAGGGCUUCGGCCCCGGUAAAGUGGCGCACGGGUGAGUAACACGUGGAUAAUCUUCCCUCGGGCGGGGGAUAACCUUCCGAAAGGAGGGCUAAUACCGCAUAAGACCACGACUCCGAAAGGAGAUGAGGUCAAAGCCGGCCUCUAUUCAUAAGCUGGCACCUGAGGAUGAGUCCGCGGCCCAUCAGCUAGUUGGCAGGGUAAUGGCCUACCAAGGCGAAGACGGGUAGCUGGUCUGAGAGGAUGAUCAGCCACACUGGAACUGAGACACGGUCCAGACUCCUACGGGAGGCAGCAGUGGGGAAUCUUGCGCAAUGGGCGAAAGCCUGACGCAGCGACGCCGCGUGAGUGAUGAAGGCCUUCGGUUGUAAGCUCUGUGGGAGGAGACGAAUUAGUAGAGGCGUAAUA